AGUUUGAUCCUGGCUCAGAAUCAACGCUGGCGGCGUGCCUCAGACAUGCAAGUCGAACGCGAAAGUUCCCUUCGGGGAGCAAGUAGAGUGGCGUCCGGGUGAGUAACACGUAGGUAAUCUACCUUCGGGUGGGGAAUAACCCAGGGAAACUUGGGCUAACACCGCAUAAUGCAGCGGCACCACAUGGUGACAGUUGUUAAAGCGGGGGAUUUUCGAACCUCGCGCCUGAAGAGGAGCCUGCGGCGGAUUAGCUAGUUGGUAAGGUAACGGCUUACCAAGGCGACGAUCCGUAGCCGGCCUGAGAGGGCGGUCGGCCACACUGACACUGACAUACGGGUCAGACUCCUACGGGAGGCAGCAGUCGGGAAUUUUGGGCAAUGGGCGAAAGCCUGACCCAGCAACGCCGCGUGAAGGAUGAAAUCCCUCGGGAUGUAAACUUCGCAAGAAUGGGAAGAAUGAGCGAGCGCUAAUACCGUUCGCGAUGACGGUACCAUUUGUAAGCUCCGGCUAACUCCGUGCCAGCAGCCGCGGUAAUACGGGGGGAGCAAGCGUUGUUCGGAUUUACUGGGCGUAAAGGGCGCGUAGGCGGCCAGCGCAAGUCAGUUGUGAAAUCUCCGGGCUUAACUCGGAAAGGUCAACUGAUACUGCGCGGCUAGAGUGCAGAAGGGGCAACUGGAAUUCUCGGUGUAGCGGUGAAAUGCGUAGAUAUCGAGAGGAACACCUGCGGCGAAGGCGGGUUGCUGGGCUGACACUGACGCUGAGGCGCGAAAGCCAGGGGAGCGAACGGGAUUAGAUACCCCGGUAGUCCUGGCCUUAAACGAUGGAUGCUUGGUGUCUGGGGUUUUAUAGUCCCCGGGUGCCGCAGCUAACGCGUUAAG
RNAcentral lists this ribosomal RNA (878 nucleotides) under uncultured bacterium. RNAcentral's name for it is "bacterial SSU rRNA". It matches the Rfam family "Bacterial small subunit ribosomal RNA", at positions 10 to 864 of the family's 1533-position model. The record is from RNAcentral.